Molecule: non-coding RNA, 657 nt
Organism: Odocoileus virginianus texanus
Lineage: Eukaryota; Metazoa; Chordata; Mammalia; Artiodactyla; Cervidae
Source: the annotation of a RefSeq genome assembly
AUGCACCAGGGUGGCGUCUUGGGGCUGGUCCGGACAGAGGAAGAUGGCCGAGUGGCAGAGGAUCCCCAGGCUGCAAGUGAAUCUCACCUGAAAGUCUUCCCUCUGGUGUCCUGUGAGAGCUCCCCGUCUGACAAGAACACUGUGGCCCUGGGCUGCCUGGCCCAGGACUUCGUGCCCAAUUCUGUCAGCUUCUCCUGGAAGUUCAAGAACAACACCAUGGUCAGCAGUGAGACCUUCCCCGAAGUCCUGAGGGACGGCUUGUGGUUGGCCUCCUCUCAGGUGGUCCUGCCCUCCCCAAGAGUCCCCCCGGGGUCAAAGGACUACCUGGAGUGCAAAGUCCAGCACCCCAAGGAUAAAAGUAUCAUCAAGACUGUGGUGGUGUCCCCCAGAGCGUCGACCCUGACCCCGACCCCGACCACGUUAGCGCCUUCUAUGACACCCAGGUCAGAGGGCUCCAACAAAGUCGUCAACACUCAGAGCAGCCCAGCUGUGGGGUGCCCAGAGUCACCCCUCACCCUGGGUAUCCUCCUGGCCCAGAGCAGCAGCUGCAGGAGGGAGCUGGGCAGUUCCCUCACUGGCCCCCAGGCCACUGGCAACCCUCCAAGAGGGGACCGUGGCUGUGAUGUCUCCCUGGGCAGCCCCCCGCCCAGCCCGUGA